This is a long non-coding RNA of Glycine soja, 2062 nucleotides long. RefSeq lists it as uncharacterized. NCBI's taxonomy places the organism in Eukaryota, Viridiplantae, Streptophyta, Magnoliopsida, Fabales, Fabaceae. The record is from RefSeq and is a predicted model, not a curated record. The transcript has 13 exons.
AAUCAUAGUUUUAAUAAUCAAACUGACCUAAUCGGUCCGCCUGGGGAUCUGGAUUUGGUGGACCAACUGGUUCAGUCCAACAAUCAUAUCACUCAUGUAAUGAAUCGGGGGAGACCUGGUGCAACCCGAUCAAGUUGUUGGUUUUCAAACUUUUUUGUUUUUUUUAAGAAAAUUAAAAAACAAAAACAAGAAGGGAAGCCAUGGAAGCACAGACGCAGUUGCAAGUCGCAACACUGGGGUCACCAAUGGGGCCAACAACAAGGCUCUAAAACUCAGUUAUCGAAACAUUGAACCCUAGUGUCAUCAUCAGACUCGAACCAACCUCUAUCCACCGAUGUCGUCAAACCACCAACCAUUAUUCUGUCGUCACACAAAGGAGCCUAUAGAACUAGCACACACCAUAUUGUUGGACCACUACACGCACGUUGCCUUCGCGUUCUCCUCGUCGCUGCAUCAAACACACCACCGCCGCAAUGGAAGCCUUUUCCCCCUUCUGUAAACAGGUUGCUGCAGAAAAUAUGGCCAGGAGGCCUUACAUUAAUUGGGCUGUCAAGAGAGUUACCCGAUUUCUGCAGGUUCUGUGGCCUAGAUCCCGGACAAACAUAUUUGGUUCAAAUGCAACUGGUAUGUCCCUUCCAACAAGUGAUGUUGACCUUGUGGUUUGUCUCCCUCCAGUGAGAAACCUGGAACCUAUUAAAGAAGCUGGAAUACUGGAAGGUCGUAAUGGAAUUAAAGAAACGUGUCUUCAGCAUGCAGCUAGGUAUCUUGCCAAUCAAGAUUGGGUGAAAAAUGAUUCUCUGAAGACAGUGAAAAAUACAGCUAUUCCUAUUAUUAUGCUUGUGGUGGAAGUACCACAGGAUGUUAUUACCUCAUCAGCUCCUAUGAUACAGUCGUUAAAUGAAGAGCCACAUUGUACUCCUGUCUCCUGGAGAACAUGGUAAUGACAAUCAAUCCGAUACCUUCCAGUUAGAAGAUUUGGCUUUGUCAAAAAGAUCCCAAAUGAAAUUCGAUGCCUUGAAAUCGAAAUCAGUUAGACUGGACAUCAACUUUAAGUCCCCAUCACAUACUGGACUCCAGACUACAGAAAUGGUUAAGGGGUUGACAGAGCAAUUUCCAGCUGCUACACCUCUUGCUUUGGUACUAAAACAGUUUUUGGCUGAUCGAAGCCUUGAUCAGUCCGACUCUGGUGGCUUAAGUUCCUACUGUUUGGUCUUACUAAUUAUACGAUUUCUUCAGCAUGAACACCAUCUUGGCUGGCCAAUCAACCAAAAUUAUGGAAGUCUUCUAAUGGAUUUUCUUUACUUUUUUGGGAAUGUGUUUGAUCCUCGCCAAAUGAGAAUAUCAGUUCAGGGAAGUGGACUUUAUAUAAAAAGAGAAAGAGGUUGUAGCAUCGAUCCAAUUCACAUAGAUGAUCCUCUUUUUCCAACUAAUAAUUUGGGAAGGAAUUGCUUCUGAAUACAUCAAUGUAUUAAGGCAUUUUCAGAAGCUUACUCUGUUCUUGAAAAUGAACUCAAAUUCCUAAAUAGUGAUGGUGGGUCAUGUUCAAGGCCACCUUACAGACUGCUUCCAAAAAUCAUUCCAAGUCUUGAUAUAUCAUAAGAUUCUCACUACAUGAAGACUGAAAUUUUAUUUUUUCUAAAGGUUCCUGGCUUGUGCAAAGUUAUGCAUGCCAAAAUAUGGUCUGUCACUUUCAUCAUGCAGAGUAUAUAUGGAAGAUGAUCACUAACUGACGUCUAGCAGUGCAAAUGGUGGGUGUGGAAGUUGGACAUCUAAUAUCUUUUUCAUGCCUUGACAUCCAAGCCUUGGGUAUGCCUUUCAUGUAUUCAUUAGUUUUUUCCUAGUUACAUGGUGGCAACUUCCAAGAAAUGGGUUAAGGACUUUAUCCUAGAUGUUGUGCUGAUGAAGGGGUGGUUGAUCGUCUGGUCUGCUUGAUCAUCUUGGUUGGUUUAAGCUACAUAUUGCUCAAUCACUGAUUCAGCGGAGUUCUGUCAGACAUUUCUGAUGCAAAAUUUUGAUUAGAAGAGGCAAAAAUCUUCGAGUCGAUAAAGAACAGCAAAGUCAG